GGGAGGGUGGCCGAGUUGGUUAUGGCGCCAGGUUAAGGUCAGCUUAACAUCUGUUUCCUGGUGGGGCAACCCGCGCGAGUUCGAGUCUCGUCCCUCUCA
Colletotrichum orbiculare MAFF 240422 is the source of this 99-nucleotide non-coding RNA. NCBI's taxonomy places the organism in Eukaryota, Fungi, Ascomycota, Sordariomycetes, Glomerellales, Glomerellaceae. The record is from Rfam.